This 440-nucleotide ribosomal RNA is filed under the name uncultured bacterium. RNAcentral describes it as "partial 16S ribosomal RNA". It matches the Rfam family "Bacterial small subunit ribosomal RNA", at positions 338 to 795 of the family's 1533-position model. The record is from RNAcentral.
CCUACGGGUGGCAGCAGUGGGGAAUAUUGCACAAUGGGGGAAACCCUGAUGCAGCGACGCCGCGUGAGUGAAGACGUAAUUCGUUACGUAAAGCUCUAUCAGCAGGGAAGAAAAUGACGGUACCUGAGUAAGAAGCUCCGGAUAACGACGUGCCAGCAGCCGCGGUAAUACGGAGGGGGCAAGCGUUAUCCGGAUUUACUGGGUGUUAAGGGAGCGUAGACGGUGUGCCAAGUCUGGAGUGAAAUUCCGCAGCUUAACUGCGGAACUGCUUUGGAAACUGGCGAACUAGAGUGCGGGAGGGGUAAGCGGAAUGCCUAGGGUAGCGGUGAAAUGCUUAGAUAUUAGGAAGAACACCGGUGGCGAAGGCGGCUUACUGGACCGUAACUGACGUUGAGGCUCGAAAGCGUGGGGAGCAAACAGGAUUAGAUACCCCUGUAGUC